RNAcentral lists this non-coding RNA (25 nucleotides) under Drosophila erecta. The record is from RNAcentral. RNAcentral also lists the same sequence under 1 other name. Lineage: Eukaryota; Metazoa; Arthropoda; Insecta; Diptera; Drosophilidae.
UAGGGAUAUUGAAGAUAAGAGCACG